This 548-nucleotide long non-coding RNA is filed under the name Zonotrichia albicollis (white-throated sparrow). Its description in RNAcentral is "lncRNA (ENSZALG00000015354.1)". Lineage: Eukaryota; Metazoa; Chordata; Aves; Passeriformes; Passerellidae. The record is from RNAcentral.
AGACCUGCAGCUGGACAUUCUUGCUUGCUGGGCUCAGCAUCGCUAUGGGCGUGAGCAACUUCUUCUCUUCCAACUGGGAGUUCUGGCUGUGUCCGACUGGAACCAACUCCUUGGCUCUUGUGAACUGAUGAUACACAGAGCUUGAAAAAUCUAAAACACCUUGUGAGUAGACACGCCAAUGUUAUGUUGAAACCUUGCCUCUCAUUCAAGGGAAAGCAAACCUGAGUGUGUGAUGUUAGAAAAGAAAGUGAAGAGAUUGAAAGAAAACUGCUGAAUGUCAAACUCACAAGGACCUACUGAAAUUCAGGACAAAAUCCAAAUUCAGUGCACGGAGACAGACAGCAGCCUACGGAGCCAAAUGGGAAUUUCACUGCUGUGAGGAGUCCCUGACAUGCUGGUUCUUGCGCUGCCUUGUUGGCAAGACUGUGAAGAAAAUACAUGACCAAUGCAAGAAAAAACAGGUUAUGACAUGCAUUAGGCUUGAAGUGACAUACUUUGCUUUGCAGGAAAUGGAGCAAAGCAAACAGAAAAGAGUGGCAGGGUGUUAA